Molecule: ribosomal RNA, 206 nt
Filed under: uncultured bacterium
Lineage: Bacteria
Description: partial 16S ribosomal RNA
Rfam family: Bacterial small subunit ribosomal RNA
Source: RNAcentral
CCAGUUCGGAUCGGAGCCUGCAACCCGGCUCCGUGAAGCUAGGAUUCGCUAGUAAUCGCGCAUCAGCCAUGGCGCGGUGAAUACGUUCCCGGGCCUUGUACACACCGCCCGUCAAGCCAUGGGAGCCGGGGGCGCCUGAAGUGCGGUACCGCGAGGGCCGCCCAAGGGCGAGACCGGUGACUGGGGCUAAGUCGUAACAAGGUACC